GCAGAUGAGGAGAAAGCACCUCCACUGAGUAUUGCGAUGAAGAUACGCCCACGACCUGAUG
RNAcentral lists this small nucleolar RNA (61 nucleotides) under Thermococcus sibiricus MM 739. Its description in RNAcentral is "Small nucleolar RNA sR42". It matches the Rfam family "Small nucleolar RNA sR42". The record is from Rfam by way of RNAcentral. Lineage: Archaea; Methanobacteriati; Methanobacteriota; Thermococci; Thermococcales; Thermococcaceae.